Molecule: long non-coding RNA, 459 nt
Organism: Hydra vulgaris (swiftwater hydra)
Lineage: Eukaryota; Metazoa; Cnidaria; Hydrozoa; Anthoathecata; Hydridae
Source: RefSeq, a predicted model, not a curated record
AAAUUCAGUUGAUACAAUUAAAAAUAUUUUGCUCUUACUGACAACAGACACUAUUUUCAGAAUGCAGCAUGAAUGGUCUAAAGAAGAAAAAAAAGUUUAAAAAGUUGACAAGUCUAUGUAUCGCUAUCACUGACGCUGCCUCAAAGUCAAAUAAAAGCUUAACCAAAAUGGAUCUCAUGCAACUUAUUGGAAGAUUAAUUAGGCAUUCUUCUGACCAAUUCAAGAGAAAAUCCACCAAUAUCGAUAUCAAUCAAUGAUGACUUAAUUAACUUCAAUCAACUGUUGUGUUUUUAUUUAUUUUGCAUUUUUCAGUAAUUUUCUUUUUACUUCUAAUAUACUAUCGAUUAUACUUUACAAAAUAUAUUAGUUUUUAAUUUGGAAAGUGUAACUUUGUUUGAAUAAUUUUUCUAAGUUUUUGUAAAAUUAUUAAUUUAUUUUGAAUAUAUGAAAUUACACUUU